This 486-nucleotide ribosomal RNA is filed under the name uncultured bacterium. RNAcentral's name for it is "partial 16S ribosomal RNA". The record is from RNAcentral.
GUAGUUAGCCGGGGCUUCCUCACAGAUUACCGUCACUUCCUUCGUCAUCUGCGACAGAGGUUUACAAUCCGAAAACCUUCUUCCCUCACGCGGCGUUGCUGGGUCAGGCUUGCGCCCAUUGCCCAAUAUUCCCCACUGCUGCCUCCCGUAGGAGUCUGGACCGUGUCUCAGUUCCAGUGUGGCCGAUCAGCCUCUCAGCUCGGCUACCCAUCGUUGACUAGGUGGGCCGUUACCCCGCCUACUAUCUAAUGGGACGCGAGCCCCUCCUUUUGCGGAUUACUCCUUUUACCCCUCUGCCAUGUGACAGUGUGGUCUUAUGCGGUAUUAGCAACGAUUUCUCGUUGUUAUCCCCCUCAAAAGGUCAGGUUGCUCACGCGUUACUCACCCGUUCGCCACUAAGUUUACAACCGAAGUCAUAAACUCCGUUCGACUUGCAUGUGUUAGGCACGCCGCCAGCGUUCGUCCUGAGCCAGAAUCAAACUCUGA